This is a long non-coding RNA of Oncorhynchus tshawytscha (Chinook salmon), 938 nucleotides long. The record is from Ensembl. Lineage: Eukaryota; Metazoa; Chordata; Actinopteri; Salmoniformes; Salmonidae.
ACAGUGGUCUCCUGAAUGAGUUGGGGACAGGGCUGAAUGUAUAAAGGUCAACAGAACAGUGGUCUCCUGAUGGAGUUGGGGACAGGGCUGAAUGUGUAAAGGUCAACAGAACAGUGGUCUCCUGAAUGAGUUGGGGACAGGGCUGAAUGUGUAAAGGUCAACAGAACAGUGGUCUCCUGAUGGAGUUGGGGACAGGGCAUGAACUCAUUGUAAAGGUCAACAGAGCAGUGGUCUCCUGAUGGAGUUGGGGACAGGGCUGAAUGUGUAAAGGUCAACAGAACAGUGGUCUCCUGAUGGAGUUGGGAACAGGGCUGAAUGUGUAAAGGUCAACAGAACAGUGGUCUCCUGAUGGAGUUGGGGACAGGGCUGAAUGUGUAAAGGUCAACAGAACAGUGGUCUCCUGAUGGAGUUGGGGACAGGGCUGAAUGUGUAAAGGUCAACAGAACAGUGGUAUCCUGAUGGAGUUGGGGACAGGGCUGAAUGUGUAAAGGUCAACAGAACAGUGGUCUCCUGAAUGAGUUGGGGACAGGGCUGAAUGUGUAAAGGUCAACAGAACAGUGGUCUCCUGAUGGAGUUGGGGACAGGGCAUGAACUCAUUGUAAAGGUCAACAGAACAGUGGUCUCUUAAUGUAGUUGGGGACAGGGCUGAAUGUGUAAAGGUCAACAGAACAGUGGUCUCCUGAAUGAGUUGGGGACAGGGCUGAAUGUGUAAAGGUCAACAGAACAGUGGUCUCCUGAUGGAGUUGGGGACAGGGCAUGAACUCAUUGUAAAGGUCAACAGAACAGUGGUCUCCUGAUGGAGUUGGGGACAGGGCUGAAUGUGUAAAGGUCAACAGAACAGUGGUCUCCUGAUGGAGUUGGGGACAGGGCUGAAUGUGUAAAGGUCAACAGAACAGUGUUCUCCUGAUGGAGUUGGGGACAGGGCUGAAUGUGUAAAG